Molecule: ribosomal RNA, 403 nt
Filed under: Fusobacteriota bacterium
Lineage: Bacteria; Fusobacteriati; Fusobacteriota
Description: Fusobacteria bacterium partial 16S ribosomal RNA
Rfam family: Bacterial small subunit ribosomal RNA
Source: RNAcentral
UGGGGAAUAUUGCACAAUGGAGGGAACUCUGAUGCAGCGACGCCGCGUGAACGAAGAAGGCUUUCGAGUCGUAAAGUUCUUUUAUAUGGGAAGAUAAUGACGGUACCAUAAGAAAAAGCCCCGGCUAACUACGUGCCAGCAGCCGCGGUAAUACGUAGGGGGCUAGCGUUGUCCGGAAUCACUGGGCGUAAAGGGUUCGCAGGCGGAAAUGCAAGUCAGGUGUAAAAGGCAGUAGCUUAACUACUGUAAGCAUUUGAAACUGCAUAUCUGGAGAAGAGUAGAGGUAAGUGGAAUUUUUAGGGUAGCGGUGAAAUGCUUAGAUAUUAAAAAGAAUACCGGUGGCGAAGGCGACUUACUAGGAUCAUUCUGACGCUGAGGAACGAAAGCGUGGGUAGCAAACAGG